AAUUUCUUAUUCCUUAAGCAUUUAAAUUUUAACAAUCAUGCGAACUUCCGUAAGAGUUGACCUUUAAUAUUAGGUCAUUUAAAAAGUAUCCGCGGUUUUUUGUUCAAUUUUUGAAUGAUAUGAUCCAAUAAUAUCUCGUCGAUGACGAGGUACCAGAAAGUAAGUUCCGUUUUUAAAUUUUGCCGCCGCAGCGGCGUAUUUACAAUGGUGCGCAUGCGUGCCGAGUUUAACAAAGGAUUGAGUGAUUGACGCGAUUUUCAAUUAUUGGUUCAGUGUAUACGCAUUAUAGUGCGUAUGUAUAACAGUUUUAUUAGUGUUACUUUUUGUAUUCAGCAUCUAUAUAUUCUCUUUUUUCAAUAUCCGAAUAUAUAUUUAUCUUGUUUUAAGUGUAACAAUUUUUGGAAAUUCAAGCAAUUUCAAGCAACACAAACAGAUCUAAUGUUUAAACAAAUCGCGUCUGUUGCUACGACGUCUGUUUUCUACAAGGGUUUAACUUAAAAAGAUUUAAUUUGAAAGACAUUUUAGGAUGUCCACUAGAUAAAGACAGGAUGCAAUUUGGUCAUCCAGAAACAUCCUAAUGAUAUCUAAACGAUGAUGUCCUAUAGAUGUAGAAUAAGACAUAUAAAUUCUCAAUUUAUCCUUAAAUUUCUUCAGGUACUCUGGAUGUUAGAAAAUCCCUCGACAUACAUCUGUAGGAUCAAGUUUUGCUGUGUGAAUAUUAUAGAGAUAGGUAAAUUUCAUAGGCGGUAAUUUUUUAUGCAAGGAUACAACGCCUGGUACCCCGCUAUAAUAAGUCAUCAACAACAAUGGUAAUUAUGUAGCGGAAUAGUAAGGUGUGUACUUUAAAAAGCAAUAAAAAAUUUUCUGUAAGUAUAGACUUGUUUUCUUUUAAUAGGCCAUCGGAACUUAUUUUCUGGUUAACCCUCAUAUAAAUAGUACAUUGUAAAAGAAAUUUCUUGCAAAAUACAUCCAGAUCGCAGAACAUACUAGUAACAUACAUUUUCGGAAGAUCAUUUCGAGUCUUAUCUCAAAAGUGUCUCCACAGCUACUUUGAUUUAAUACAUAUGAAUACUUUCCACUGCUUCACUAUCUAAGUGUGUCAUAUAAUAAUAGUAAGUUAUAUUUCUAAAUUAAUUAGUACAGAUAACAAUACAAAGUGUUAAUUAGCAUACACUACUUAUAUUUCUGUACUAAACCAUAUUACCUUGAAAGUCUAAGUACGAUUGAUAACAUUUCUUAUAAAACUCUUGUUAACGAAUUAUAUCCUGUGACUUUCUAAAAAAUCAUACAAAAGCUUAUAAAUUCAUACAAGAUGCAGCUGUUAAUUCUUUAUUCUUUAUCAUUGUAACAAUUUUUCUAUGAAUAUGUCUCUAACAUUCGGGACUGCUUUAUUUGGGUGAACACAACUAUCUUUCCUUGCCUCUUGCUCUUUUACAAAGUCAACUAUGAGAAAAUUUUCGAUUUCUAUCAUAUUAUCAAUUUAAGGAAGGACGGAAAUGGAAAAAUCAAUUGGAAUGUACGUAUAUUAACGAAAAUCAAAUUUUAUAGAGAAAAGGAGUUAGAUUUGAUUAAUUACAAAUUUGUUACAGAUAUAAAAAGAUUUUAUACAGAAAACACAUGUGUUCUUUUCGAAUUGUUUGCAAUACGAUCUGUAGUACAAAUUAUAAUUAUACAAAUAUAUUUAUAUUUGUUAAUAUUUUUUUCCCUUCCCCCUCUCCUUGCUACGUCAGUAUUUCAUAUUUGUUUGAAUACUUUGGAUUGCCCUAAUUUAUAUAGAAUAGAGCAACACGUAUUGUAUUAUCACUCAUUUGUAAUAUUGUCCAUUGUAAAAAAAGACUAAUAAAAAGGAAUAUGAUUAUUACUCCAAAAAGAAGUAGAAAAAAAUUGUGCAAUACCAGUAUAGAUGUAAUACCACAACUGCGUUUGGAAAUUUGCUGGCACAUUCAAGAUGUUUCUAUGCAAAAGUAUAAAGUAUUUUUGUCCCAAUAAAGAAUCGAAAAAAAAAAAAAA
This is a long non-coding RNA of Acromyrmex echinatior (Panamanian leafcutter ant), 2010 nucleotides long. Lineage: Eukaryota; Metazoa; Arthropoda; Insecta; Hymenoptera; Formicidae. The record is from RefSeq and is a predicted model, not a curated record.